AUGUAUAACCUUCCUCCUUGGAUGUGCAUGAAGCGGAAGUUCAUUAUGAUGCCAGUUCUCAUCCAAGGCCCUAAGCAACCCGGCAACGACAUUGAUGUGUACCUAAGGCCAUUAGUUGAAGAACUUUUACAACUGUGGAAUGGAAACGGUGUACGUACGUGGGAUGAGCACAAACAGGAGGAAUUUAACCUGCACGCGUUGCUGUUUGUAACCAUCAACGAUUGGCCCGCUCUCAGUAACCUUUCAGGACAGACAAACAAGGGAUACCAUGCAUGCACGCACUGUUUAGAUGACACUGAAAGUAUAUACCUGGACAAAUGCAGGAAGAAUGUGUACCUGGGCCAUCGUCGAUUUCUUCCGACCAACCAUCAAUGUCGAAAGAAAGGCAAGCAUUUCAAAGGCGAGGCAGAUCACCGGAAGAAGCCCGCCAUGCGUACCGGUGAUCACGUACUUGCUAUGGUCAAUGAUUUACACGUAAUCUUUGGAAAGGGUCCCGGCGGACUAGCUGUUCCGAAUGACGCUGAGGGACACGCACCCAUGUGGAAGAAGAAAUCUAUAUUUUGGGACCUACCCUACUGGAAAGAGCUAGAGGUCCGCUCUUCAAUCGACGUGAUGCACGUGACGAAGAACCUUUGCGUGAACCUGCUAGGCUUCUUGGGCGUGUAUGGGAAGACAAAAGAUACACCUGAGGCACGGGAGGACCUGCAACGUUUGCACGAAAAAGAUGGCAUGCCUCCGAAGCAGUAUGAAGGUCCUGCCAGCUACACUCUUACGAAAGAAGAGAAAGAAAUCUUCUUUGAAUGCCUGCUCAGUAUGAAGGUCCCGACUGGCUUCUCGUCGAAUCUAAAGGGAAUAAUAAAUAUGCCAGAGAAAAAGUUCCAGAACCUAAAGUCUCAUGACUGCCACGUGAUUAUGACGCAACUGCUUCCGGUUGCAUUGAGGGGGCUUCUACCGGAAAACGUCCGAUUAGCCAUUGUGAAGCUAUGUGCAUUCCUCAAUGCAAUCUCUCAGAAGGUGAUCGAUCCAGAAAUCAUACCAAGGCUAAGGAGUGAUGUGGCGCAAUGUCUUGUCAGUUUCGAGCUGGUGUUCCCACCAUCCUUCUUCAAUAUCAUGACGCACGUCCUAGUUCAUCUAGUCGACGAGAUUGUCAUUCUGGGGCCCGUAUUUCUACACAAUAUGUUCCCCUUUAAGAGGUUCAUGGGAGUCCUAAAGAAAUAUGUCCGUAACUGCGCUAGGCCAGAAGGAAGCAUCUCCAUGGGCCAUCAAACAGAGGAUGUCAUUGGGUUUUGUGUUGACUUCAUUCCUGGCCUUAAGAAGAUAGGUAUCCCUAAAUCGCGGUAUGAGGGGAGACUGACUGGAAAAGGCACGCUUGGAGGGGACUCAAUAAUAUGCAGGGACGGAUAUUCUUGGUCUCAAGCACACUACACAGUUCUACAGAACUCUACCUUGGUGACCCCGUAUGUCGAUGAAGACAAGAACAGUCUGCGCUCCAAACACCCGGAGUAG
This 1506-nucleotide ribosomal RNA is filed under the name Triticum aestivum (bread wheat). Its description in RNAcentral is "partial small subunit ribosomal RNA". Lineage: Eukaryota; Viridiplantae; Streptophyta; Magnoliopsida; Poales; Poaceae. The record is from RNAcentral.